This 501-nucleotide ribosomal RNA is filed under the name uncultured bacterium. Its description in RNAcentral is "partial 16S ribosomal RNA". It matches the Rfam family "Bacterial small subunit ribosomal RNA", at positions 30 to 523 of the family's 1533-position model. The record is from RNAcentral.
AUUGAACGCUGGCGGCAGGCCUAACACAUGCAAGUCGAGCGGAUGAGAGGAGCUUGCUUCUUGAUUCAGCGGCGGACGGGUGAGUAAUGCCUAGGAAUCUGCCUGGUAGUGGGGGACAACGUUUCGAAAGGAACGCUAAGAACGCAUACGUCCUACGGGAGAAAGUAGGGGACCUUCGGGCCUUGCGAUGACAGAGGAGGCUAGGUCGGAUUAGCGAGGUGGUGAGGUAAUGGCGCACCAAGGCUACGAUCCGUAACUGGUCUGAGAGGCAUGAUCAGUCACACUGGAACUGAGACACGGUCCAGACUCCUACGGGAGGCAGCAGUGGGGAAUAUUGGACAAUGGGCGAAAGCCUGAUCCAGCCAUGCCGCGUGUGUGAAGAAGGUCUUCGGAUUGUAAAGCACUUUAAGUUGGGAGGAAGGGUUGUACGUUAAUACCGUGCAAUUUUGACGUUACCGACAGAAUAAGCACCGGCUAACUCUGUGCCAGCCGCCGCAGUAA